GUCUUGUUAUAGCCCUGGAGUUGCUUGCCAAAUAUGUCAGUUUCUCCAUCUUCUUUACACAAGCAACAGAGAACCAUUGAACGAUGGAAGACCAAACUAAGAUAAUUGUGCUUUGGACAGAAAGAAGUGGGAGAAUUGAUAAGCAUUGUUGUGUUGAUUUUUCUGCUCUGCUGGUGGAAUUGGCAAUAUCGCCCUGCAUUUCUAAU
RNAcentral lists this long non-coding RNA (206 nucleotides) under Papio anubis (olive baboon). RNAcentral's name for it is "lncRNA (ENSPANG00000040028.1)". The record is from RNAcentral. Lineage: Eukaryota; Metazoa; Chordata; Mammalia; Primates; Cercopithecidae.